GACCACCUUAGGUCUCGCUGGGGCCUCGGGUAGGGCCUGGUGUUGCUGGCCUGGAAGGAAUUGGGCCACCCUGUCUUGGGGCCCCCAGCCCCCAGCCUCGCCCCUGAGCAGGCCCAGCGACCGGUUGGCUGAGAAGUUGGCAAAAGUUUUGGGGUUUCACUGCAGCCACCAGGUCCACUUGUCCGCCGGGCAGGUACCGGAGGACAGAAUACGGAGGCCGAGAGCGCUGAGUGACCUGUGGAGCCAUGACAGGCUGAGCCAGGAUCUGAACGAAAGCAGGUUCAGGCUCGGGAUCCAUUUCAGGCCGUUUCUGUGUUUUGCUGGAGGAAGCUGUCAGGCAUUCUCCUGUCAAUGUGGCUGCCCAGUUGUUGAAAGACUGUGCCGUCACCGCUGAGUUGUCUCGGCGCCCUGGUAAUGUCAUCUGACUAUGAGGGUGUAUUUUUUAAAAAAAACUUAUUAUUA
Molecule: long non-coding RNA, 462 nt
Filed under: Meriones unguiculatus (Mongolian gerbil)
Lineage: Eukaryota; Metazoa; Chordata; Mammalia; Rodentia; Muridae
Description: lncRNA (ENSMUGG00000000043.1)
Source: RNAcentral